GACGAACGCUGGCGGCGUGCUUAACACAUGCCAGUCGAACGGAAAGGCCCUGCUUUUGUGGGGUGCUCGAGUGGCGAACGGGUGAGUAACACGUGAGUAACCUGCCCUUGACUUUGGGAUAACUUCAGGAAACUGGGGCUAAUACCGGAUAGGAGCUCCUGCUGCAUGGUGGGGGUUGGAACGUUUCGGCGGUUGGGGAUGGACUCGCGGCUUAUCAGCUUGUUGGUGGGGUAGUGGCUUACCAAGGCUUUGACGGGUAGCCGGCCUGAGAGGGUGACCGGCCACAUUGGGACUGAGAUACGGCCCAGACUCCUACGGGAGGCAGCAGUGGGGAAUAUUGCACAAUGGGCGGAAGCCUGAUGCAGCAACGCCGCGUGCGGGAUGACGGCCUUCGGGUUGUAAACCGCUUUCGCCUGUGACGAAGCGUGAGUGACGGUAAUGGGUAAAGAAGCACCGGCUAACUACGUG
Molecule: ribosomal RNA, 468 nt
Filed under: uncultured bacterium
Lineage: Bacteria
Description: partial 16S ribosomal RNA
Rfam family: Bacterial small subunit ribosomal RNA
Source: RNAcentral